Molecule: non-coding RNA, 1888 nt
Organism: Phoenix dactylifera (date palm)
Lineage: Eukaryota; Viridiplantae; Streptophyta; Magnoliopsida; Arecales; Arecaceae
Source: RefSeq, a predicted model, not a curated record
GUCUUGCUUCUUUCGCUGCAUUGGUGGCUUUGUGCGGAGCCACGCAAGGUUGUCAAAAGAGCAUUUACUGAUGCACCGACGUGAGGCCGAUUGACGUUAGCGAGUGAAUGUUUUGUGAAGAAGGGAGAGACAGAAGGGGAAGGAAGGCAAGGCAACCGCGAAGAAGACGAAGAUGCGGCGGUCAUCGUAGUGGGGGACUGGGUUUAGCUCUUGGGUGUCCAUCUCUCGCUCUCGCUCCCUCUCCCUCUCCCAUCUCCUCUCUCCCUCCCUCGGCCGGGUCUGGAGGAUUCCUUACUUCUGGCUCCUCCCAGGUUGCAUCCACAUGGACGGCGACGGAGGAGCGGCGGUAUUUUUCUUUUGUGGACCAAGAGGAGCACCGGUGAUGCGGGCUUGCCGAUGCUUGUUCAUCCUUCUCCUCUUUCUUUACGGCGGCCUUGUGACAGUUCAGGCAUUUACUGGCACUUAUGGAAUAAAUUAUGGCAGGGUCGCUGAUAACAUUCCUCCCCCUGAAGCUGUUGUGGCAUAUUUGAAAGAAGCAAAGAUAAAGAAUGCUCGAAUCUAUGAUGCAGAUCACAGUGUUCUGGAGGCAUUUAAAGGAUCCGGGCUUGAACUGGUGGUGGGAAUUCCCAAUGAAUAUCUUAAAAAUAUGAGUACGAAUGAAGACCAAGCUGUCAACUGGAUUAAGGAAAACGUGCAAGCAUAUUUGCCUGACACACAUAUCAGAGGGAUCGCUGUAGGGAAUGAAGUGCUGGGAGGAUCAGAUCAGGAGCUGGUAGAAGCUCUUUCUGGUGCUAUCAGAAACGUAUAUAAUGCUCUGAGUAAGCUUCAACUGACAGAUGUCAUCGAAGUCUUGACCCCACACUCUCAGGCUGUGUUUGAUAAUUCCUAUCCUCCAUCAUCAUGUACUUUCAAGGAGAAUGUUCUCCAAUACAUGAAACCAAUCUUGGAUUUAUUUUCAAAGGCAGGAUCUCCCUUCUUCAUCAACACAUAUCCAUUUUUGUCCUACAAAUAUGACCCCAAUAAUAUAGAUAUUAAUUAUGCUCUUUUCCAGCCAAAUCGUGGAGUUUAUGAUGCAAAGGCUGAUUUGCACUAUGACAAUAUGUUUGAUGCUCAGAUAGACGCAGCAUAUGCUGCUUUGGAAGCAGCUGGGUAUGAGGAGAUGGAAGUCCGAGUUUCUGAGACAGGUUGGGCUUCUAAAGGGGAUGAAGAUGAAACUGGAGCUACCGCUCAGAAUGCAAGAACUUAUAAUUAUAAUUUGCUCAAGAGGCUAGCCAAGAAGAAAGGGACUCCACGCAGACCAAAGAUGGUAGUAAAAGCAUAUGUUUUUGCAUUGUUUAAUGAGGAUUUGAAGCCUGGGUCAGGUUCUGAGAGGCAUUAUGGACUUCUGAAGUCUGAUGGGAGCAUAGCAUAUGAUAUUGGAUUUUCUGGUCUGACACCUUCAUAAUCAUCCUCAUCUCUCUUAUCUCUUAAGCAGGAAGGUCUGUAGCAGGAUUUUGCAGUAGUGGAGGGAACAGAGCCGGACAGAAGGAUAUCCAUGGUCAAAAUUGGGUAGUGCCUUACCCCAUGGUUUUGGCGACUUGUACUGUAGCCAUGCUUUUGGUUUUGAUGAGGUAACCGAAUCAAUGUUGCUUUUUGAUGCCAAACCAUCAUUAGAAAGCUGUUCCUUGGGUACAUGGCAAUAUGUUUCUUUUGGAUAUAUUCUCUCGUUACAGUGUUCAUUACCCAUUCAGAAAUUCUCACUAGGUAUGGAUUGCAUUAAACCAUUCAUGGAUUGCUUAAUCAUUUUAUUUACUGAAGCAGCGCACUCUAAUGCAUGCCUGUAUAAACAGGGUUAAUGAUUCUUGGAAGUAGAAAUAGUCAAAUGUGUAAGUGCUUGAAUUAUCAUAAA